UCUGGUGGGAGCCCAGAGCGGCCUGGACCCAGUGGGGUCCUGGUGGGAGCCGGGGACGGGAGGGGGAAGCGUGGAGUGGGGAGAGGCCUGGGGAUCAGUUUUGGGGAGGCCGGGGUAGCCAGCCCGCCUGGGUUGUGACGACCGGGAGCGGGGCUCCAGCUGUUUGCUUAAGAUGUUGGGAUUGCUGUGGCACACAGAGUGCCCUGUGCCCCGCGGCCUCAGCCUCACAGGGUGGCCUCCUGUUUCCUGGGACUUCUCAAGAAACAAAACAGGCUAGCGAGGCAAAGAAAAUACCGCCGUCUGCCCUUCUCUGUGAACAGAGGGCAAGUAUAUCGUGGACACGGGGAAGAAAGUCCCUCCUGGUCCCUGUAGAAAAACACUGUGCGGUCUCCAGUCUUUGUUUUGGUUUUGGGAACGCAUUCUUGAAAAGCGCUGUUUCACCAAAGGAAGUUUAAGCAACGUUCCAGUUUGCUACAGGAAAGCUACAGAGGGACGCCUCUUCAGGAAGGACGAGACUCGCGGAUCCACACACGCUGGCCUCUACGUAGACCGACAUCGUCCUUUCCUGUGGCGGGAGUUGAUUCAGGUUUCCAGAGUCCGGUAUUAGCAAGAUGAAUGAGCCUCUUCCUUUUUUUUCUCUCUUUCCCCUGCAGUUUUGAAACGUGAUUCCUAACUCUGAGUGGAUGCUCUUUUCACGCUCAGCUGGGUUCCUAACUCCUGAAAUAUUAAUCUGUGGGAGUUGCCGGCAGACCCAUAGUGGGCGCCCAUUACCAAGCUCCUGGCUGCCCAAAGGACACUUGAUAAGGGGACUUUACUCUGUGCCUGUCUUCCUGGUUCUGGGGGCUCUGGCAGAGCAGCCCUUGCACCCAGAGAAGUGGCCCCUCUCCUGGCCUUUUGUCCUGCCUCUGCAGUGCGGAAUCCCCUGGUCUCAGCCUGGAACAUUGGCCCCAAGUGCAUUUGCUUAGACCUCUGAAAACGAAUUCAUGAAAGUGGUGUUGUCAGCCAACCCAAUCCCAGCGCCCUCUCCAGUUGUGAGUUCAUUGACUGCCCCCCCCCCCACCCCAAACAAGGCCUUGUUCUCAACGUUGACUUCCUCUGCAUUUUCUUUUUUGCCUAAACACGGUUUCACACUCCUCGCUUCUGCUACACUGCUUAGCACACCAGCAAACUGGUUACAAAACCCAGCACGAGAAUGUUUAGGACUGUGGAAUAUGCACCACGUGGGGAUGUGAAAACAUAAGCAAGAUUUACAAGGCCCGCAGCACCGUCCUGAGAGCGGGCUGGGCUGGGCUGGGCCCGUUGUGUGGCUCUUGCGACUUGGUGGCUGCACCUCAGAGCAGGGCUCCCGAGGGUCCCCGGAGACCUUCAAUCUGGUAAGCCAAUUUCAGAGCCCGAGUCUGGUUGCAAGUGGAUUCAUUUGAACUAUAAUAUAAAAUAUUGUGUUUAUUUAACCCCUGUAAGCUGAUCUCCUUUGUCGUCGUGAACUGGCUGGGCAGCUAAGAACCCACAUUCCUUCCAUAGUUAAUAAAACUUCAUAUUUUUCUCUGUAUUCAUAAAUUUAAUUACGCUCAGACCCUUUUAAUCUAUAUCGGUUUUUCAAAAUUUACCUAGAUUAAGAAAACACGAGCCCCUCCCCCUUCCACACGCAACAUAAUCAUAAUCUUUGGAUUAAAAGGCACAACUUGAGAAUUCAUUUUGCCAGUUUCGUCAACAAAUCAUCUUGUAUCUUUUUUGAUUUUCUGACCUGGAGACGGUAGACAUGUAAAUUGACUUGGCCAUGAUUCCUCCCAAGAUUUAUACUUUAAAUGCCUGCAUUGUUUAGCCGUAUUAAAACAAAACAAAACCACCAAGGGAAGAGCAAAAAAGCUGUUUCUAACUUACUUCACCCAUGACUCUUUGUAAAUUCUUUGAAGCAUUCAGCUUGUAUUUGGGAUUGGUACAUCUUCUCUGAAAGUCAAGAAGGUGAGAGACCUCAGGGAUGCCCCUACCCAGAGGAAUCUUGGGACGCGAGAUCAGUAGUGCUUCCUUGGCCCCUCCCAGGUGCUUUCUGAAAAUCAGUGAUAUUUCUGUAAAGGGUUUUGUGCCUGUUGAGAGACAUAAGUGCAAUUUAUCAGCAUCUAGGUACUCUGUGUCCCCAGGCACCCGCGUACAGAUGAAAGCUUAUCGUCUGGCUCCUGGCAGAAAUCCUUCCCAGUGCGACCUCCUUCGCGCGAAUCUUCUCUAAACGACAUCUGUUCAAAUGGUGCUUCAGAACCGUCUUCUCAGGUGUAAUGAAGGACACCAAGACUCCCUGUUAAUUGAAAUGUUUGUCUUCAUUUCCAAAGCUUGGCGUUCUCCCCCCUUCCUUACCUGUUUCUUUGGAGCGUUUUUAGAAUUCCGUCUGGGCAGACCCAUCUGCCAAGCGUCCCCUCCUCUGUUCAUAUCUUUUGGCCACCAUUUGGCUUUGCCCUGAUUUGGUCUGUGAGAGAGAAAUCUCUGUUUCCACCAAAAGAAAGAAAAGAAAUAAAAGCUGAAACAGAAUGAAACCUUUAUGUAUUGCAGCAGAUUAUUUUUCCCCCUAUUUCAUCGUUCGUUGAAAUUCUUACAAGAACACCACACUCAAGCGUUUGGUCCGAGGAAGGCUUUAAACUAAGAGGCCCCUCGCAGCUUUCCCAUCUGGAAGUCAGCUAGCGCUCGGCUCUUUGGAACCCGGGAGAGGAACAGUCGUUCGUUUUCCUUUUCUGCCUCCAAGGAGCGUUGCUGCAGGGAGAGCCACUCCGAAGUGUUCUCCCUUUCCAGUAACGCUCAGGGGCGUACUGUGCAUCACAACUCUAAAAUCUGCGACCAGGUUUCCAUCACAAACCCGGACAACACUCUUUCCCCAGUCUUCUUUGUCUGGAGAUACCAGAGGGGAGAAGGGCCGGUGACACGUCAAAACUCACGUGUGUUCUCUGUGUCGACUCCGCUGGCUGUUUAGCUGUAAGAUCACUGGACGGAGAAGGAUGGCCUUUCAGGCCAAUGUGCCGUAGGCCACGUGUUCCCUCCUUAGCCGCCAUGUGAGGGCCGUGACCAUGUCUUUGACCCGAUGGAAUGGGUGUUUGCUGGGUCAUCUGGCCAUGCGCUUAAAACUUCCAAGUGAUAAUGAUAAAAACAUGCAGAAGUGUUUGCGUGAGGACGGGUAGGGCUUCACCGCCGUUGAGGUUCAGGACGCACUGCCAGCGCGUGACAUGGGACUGUUGGUGACUCUACGAAAUGCUCGGCGAACGUGGAGUGCCCUACCAGAGCUAUGAACAAGAUGCUGACAGAAUGAUUUGUAUCUCUUUGUCUGCCCUUGUGGGCAAUACAUUUCAUGGCCGCCUUAUUUGCCACCAUAUAACCUGUUCCUGCUACACUGCCUGAUGAAUAAGAGGCAUUCUUUGACUAUGUGCUCAGUGAAUGAAUCAAUGAACGGAUUUGCCGCUUAAACACACUUGCUGUCGUUACAAUUGCAGUACUAGAAGCACGCUGGUACAUCUCCUGGUGUGGAACAGACGUACGGAUUCUGUAAAGGGAACAAAUCUUCCGGCACCCGUGUCACUGCAGACGAGUGAGUGGGGCCCCCGAGACGCCCUGCAGGGGCAGAACAAGUGCUCGGGCACCAAGCACAGCUCCUGGCACACAGGAACUCCUCAAGUAUAACCAGUCCAGGCUGAUGGUCAGAGAACGAGAGGCUGUGAGGAGCCCGACUGAGCCAUUCUUGCCAGUGGAGUCUCAGCCGACCUGCGCUGAUAACGGGAUCAUGGGCGAGCCCAAAUUAAAUCCAUGAGCCCUUCCCAUGUCGACAGAGCUUCCUGGCCAGUCCACAGACCCACGAGAGACAAUAAACAGUUGCUUUCUUAAACCACGAAGUCUUGGGGUGGUUUGUUAGGCAGCAAUAGCUAACUGAUAGUCAAUAGCCAUCUUCUGCUGCUACCUCCGAAGGAUCGUUUUCUAGUCCUUAUAGCAGAGACUUAUACAGGUUACCCCAAAUCUGUGUCCUUUUUCAUCAUAAGCAUACAGCUGUGCUAUAUGUUCUCACCUCCAUGUGUCCAUGUGACUGAGCUCUGGCGAACGGAAUACGUGCAGAAGCGAUGUGGGGCACUUCCAAGUCUGGAAGUUCCUGGAAUCCAUUUCCCCCAUCUGGCUGAAUGGAGAGACACUGAGGAGGGCAGAUCCAGAGUAUGGAAGACGCAGGGCUUCAUGCGUGACCGUGUGGAAGACCGCUACUCACCGGGAUCAUCUCCCGGUGCGAGUUUUGUGCAAGUGAGACGUUAACCUCAGUCGUGCCAAGUUACUGAGGCCCGGGGUUCAUUUGCAGCAGCUGGGGUUGUUCGCUGUCGCCACUGCUCUGCUCCUCUUACCUGGCCUCUCUGUGGCCCUGGGCCAUGCUGACCGCCCUCUCUUAUGGCAUUUUUUUCCCCUGGUUUCCUCGAUCUCCUACAUUAUAAUUUUCCCACACAUAUAUCAAUGGUUCUCCAUUACUUUCAAGACGAUAAGGUCCGGAAUUCUUAGCAUGCCUUUGUCUCUGCUAAUGCUUUUGUUUACCUCUCCGCCCUUCUGUCUCACCACCAUUGCCUUCUAACUCUGUGCCUUUAUAUAAACACGUCAUGCUCUCGUGUGCUCUGAGGUCUGAUAUUUGUUCUCUCUCCUGGAAAUAGUUUUCCCACUUUUUGCCCUACUAACUUUUGCUACCAUUUUGGAUCUGGUCUAUCAUUUGUUCCAAGAAUCCUGGGGCCCCAUGGCUGGGCGAACAGCCACUGUGGACUGUGAGGGGGUUCUGUGUCUACCCCAAUCCUAGGACUUACUGUUGUACCAGAGCUUUGCCUCUCCUCACCAGCGGACUCUAUGCGCUGAGCUAUUUUAGCCCACCGUGCUCACUAUUGCAUACGUAUCCUAAAUGCGCAAACCCACACAUGCCAUUUAGUCAUGCUAAUAACCAUUGAGUGAGUGCAUCAAUUAAUG
Acinonyx jubatus (cheetah) is the source of this 4959-nucleotide long non-coding RNA. RefSeq lists it as uncharacterized. Lineage: Eukaryota; Metazoa; Chordata; Mammalia; Carnivora; Felidae. The transcript is spliced from 4 exons. The record is from RefSeq and is a predicted model, not a curated record.